RNAcentral lists this ribosomal RNA (253 nucleotides) under uncultured bacterium. RNAcentral's name for it is "partial 16S ribosomal RNA". It matches the Rfam family "Bacterial small subunit ribosomal RNA", at positions 524 to 776 of the family's 1533-position model. The record is from RNAcentral.
UACGGAGGAUGCAAGCGUUAUCCGGAUUCAUUGGGCUUAAAGGGUGCGUAGGUGGCUAUUUAAGUCAGUGGUGAAAUACAGCCGCUCAACGGUUGAGGUGCCAUUGAUACUGAUUAGCUUGAAAUAAUUGGAGGCUGCCGGAAUGGAUGGUGUAGCGGUGAAAUGCAUAGAUAUCAUCCAGAACACCGAUUGCGAAGGCAGGUGGCUACGAUUUAUUUGACACUGAGGCACGAAAGCAUGGGGAGCAAACAGG